AGGCUGUAUACAUAAUAAAUAAAU
This 24-nucleotide non-coding RNA is filed under the name Cricetulus griseus (Chinese hamster). The record is from RNAcentral. Lineage: Eukaryota; Metazoa; Chordata; Mammalia; Rodentia; Cricetidae.